Lupinus angustifolius (narrow-leaved blue lupine) is the source of this 151-nucleotide small nuclear RNA. It matches the Rfam family "U4 spliceosomal RNA". From Rfam's summary of the family: U4 small nuclear RNA (U4 snRNA) is a component of the major U2-dependent spliceosome. The record is from Rfam. Lineage: Eukaryota; Viridiplantae; Streptophyta; Magnoliopsida; Fabales; Fabaceae.
AUCUUUGCGCUUGGGGCAAUGACGUAGCUUAUGAGGUUUUAACUGAGGCGCGUCUAUUGCUGGUUGAAAACUAUUUCCAAACCCCCUCUUAGGCUUGGGUUCAGCUCUGGCCUUCGAGAAUUUCUGGAAGGGCUCCCUUUGGGGUAAAGUC